AUGGCAUGGUGGAAGCUCUGUAUUCCAAAAAGUGAAGGAGGUAUGGGCUUUAGAGACCUAUAUUCUUUUAAUCUAGCUAUGUUGGCUAAACAGUGCUGGAGACUCGUCACUGAUCCAGAUUCUUUGGUGGCGAGAGUUUUAAAAGCUAAAUAUUAUCCUAAUGGAAGCAUUCUUACUGCUACUCCAAAAAAUGGGUCAUCCUUUACUUGGCAAAGUAUCCUUAAGGGACUGGAAACUUUUAAGAAAGGGUAUAUUUGGAGAAUUGGGACUGGGGAAGAAGUGAAUAUAUGGAAGAAUCCUUAG
RNAcentral lists this ribosomal RNA (303 nucleotides) under Triticum aestivum (bread wheat). Its description in RNAcentral is "partial small subunit ribosomal RNA". The record is from RNAcentral. Lineage: Eukaryota; Viridiplantae; Streptophyta; Magnoliopsida; Poales; Poaceae.